AACAUCCAAGCCUAGCAAGCGGCCUUUUUUCUUCGUAUGAGCCAUCAAUAAGUCUUGGAACAAGCUCAAAGGUUUCACGCACCUCAUCUACAAACACCAUGAAACAGUUGAGAAACUUCACUCAAUGAUUCAAACUACAUGCUUGGAAAAAUAAGCAGAGACCAAACAGGAAUAUCCAUCGAUUCAAGCAAGGCAGUGAUGUCAGAGAGAUGAACUCUCAUGAAGCAAAUCAAACACCCAUCAACAUAUCCAUCACUACCUACGAUUCGUAUCUUGAGUGAUACCCAAUAAGGUAAAACCAUAAACAAGUACUGGAAGCAGCAUAAGGAGCAGCUCUACGACUAGCUAGCGGUAGCAUCCGCAUAGCUGUCACGGGUCAAUGCUAAAGCCCGUAGCUUGCAUGAGCAAUGAGCUCCAGCGAUGACACAAGCUUAUGCGGCACGGUGAUCUGACUACUUUGAUAUAAAAAGCAAAUGAACGUACGCCCGGGAGACAGAAUGUAGUGGACACCUGUCUCGAAAGUGCUCAGUCAGGCAUUAAGACAAACACUUGGUAUGGACGACCAUAUAUCAGAGCCACACAAAGAUGGGUCCUUCAGGUAGCGUCACUUCGUCCGCUUAUGGUACCGCCCGGACGACACCCAGAUGUCACCUGCUCUUCCUCGUCCUUCCCCAACGGCAAGCUCGGGAUUCAAUCAAGAAAGGCGAGCGAUUCUCUGGUCAAAUUUGUGCUGAGCUUCUUCACACUUGUUGGCCCCCAUCGCCUCCUUGGCAAAUUCGGGACUUCGUUUCACUCUUUCUUUGUUCUUUUGGCCGGUUUCGAUUUCACCAUUGCAUGAGCGGACAGUCUCGUGUAAAAACCCAACCCAACCGAACUAAAC
RNAcentral lists this long non-coding RNA (880 nucleotides) under Eucalyptus grandis. Its description in RNAcentral is "long non-coding RNA (EGRA_LNC002563)". Lineage: Eukaryota; Viridiplantae; Streptophyta; Magnoliopsida; Myrtales; Myrtaceae. The record is from RNAcentral.